CUUGACCGAACCCAGCCACAGCGGCUCGUCCCGGUCACGCCCGUAGGUUGCCAGCAGCGCCUCGGCCUC
This 69-nucleotide antisense RNA is filed under the name Actinokineospora terrae. RNAcentral describes it as "ASpks TB sRNA". It matches the Rfam family "ASpks TB sRNA". The record is from Rfam by way of RNAcentral. Lineage: Bacteria; Bacillati; Actinomycetota; Actinomycetes; Pseudonocardiales; Pseudonocardiaceae.